AAAAAUGGUACAAGUUAUUUGCGUAAAAAGGUUAAUCAAUCCAUCUAGAUUUCAAUGUAAUCACGACAAUAAUCUAGAAAAAUUAUUUUCCAAUAAAAAAUACACCAAAAUAAUUCCCAAGAAAUAGAAUGAAAAUACUUGAGCAAUUUCAAGAAAAUUCAAUUUCAAAUUAAGUAUGUACACAACAAAAUUUUCAUUUUCAUCAAGGAAUAUAUUUUUCAAAAUAUUGUGUUUUUUCAAUCAUUUGAAUCCAUAUCAUAGG
Molecule: unclassified non-coding RNA, 262 nt
Filed under: Hevea brasiliensis (rubber tree)
Lineage: Eukaryota; Viridiplantae; Streptophyta; Magnoliopsida; Malpighiales; Euphorbiaceae
Source: RNAcentral